AAAAAAAAGAAAAAAACGCCCUCUUUCUAAGUAAACUCAUCCCACUAGAUCUCCGGCCCGAUAUUCUUUUAAGCCUCCGGUCGGCGCUUACGUAACGGAAAAGGAGCUCAAAUCGAGUCCUUCUUUGGAGGAACCAAGGUCCAUAAAAGAAAGAAAGAACGUUCAGUCAUCUAGGGGUAAGAAUAAUACUCUCUCACUAGGGUGUCGAUGUUGUUGUAAGACACCUAUUAACACGCUCACCAAUAUCUUAACACGAAUAGUAAAAAGAGAGGGAUAUAUUAUUAAUGUAUUGUAUAUCUCCUCCUAUAAGGGAAUAACAUACUGGUAACCUGGUUGAUUGUAGUCUUGUAAAGAAGUCGUACAAUAGAUUUUCUUUCUUGUCAAGUGUUCUUCUACACUUUCACUAGUAGAUAAAUUAAAAUUUUCGAGUUUGAGUACGAAAAGAGAGUUUUUCGAAACUAAGCGAUGUCGAUCCCCUUAGCUACUACCUGCCUUGCCCCUGCAUCGCCUACUAGUGAUGGUGGCCAUGUACCUUCUACACCUCUAGUAAGUAUCAAACCCACAGUUGAGGAUGUCUAAGAGUUAAAGUACCCGCUCUUAGGAUGGUUCUCCGGCCGAACCUCCGCAAUUAAGUCGACCUCAUCGCAAGAUGCUGGCGGACUAACUACGUGAGCACGUGUUUCCCUAUCUCGGUAAACACUGUGACGUAGUGAAACUAGACGGCGUGCUUUACCUCUGGGCUAUGCCGCCAACCGACCCGCGGCUUUAGGCCAUGCACGUUGAGGAGACAUGAUGAUCACAGUUUUUGUGAGAAUAUAUAUGGGCUUUUUCUUUGUGAGAAUAUAAUACUCUACUUCCCUCAUGUAAACAUGAAACAAAGAGAAAAGAGAUAGAAUUACUUUAGCCGUCUCGCGGAUGGAACGCAGCAGCUUUUGUUGUUGUACACAAAAGGGUCCCUCCUCAAACUGAUGAUGCGGCUGCACACGAAGUUCCGCAAACCACUGGCCCACUUCAAGACCCG
This 1021-nucleotide ribosomal RNA is filed under the name Triticum aestivum (bread wheat). RNAcentral's name for it is "partial small subunit ribosomal RNA". Lineage: Eukaryota; Viridiplantae; Streptophyta; Magnoliopsida; Poales; Poaceae. The record is from RNAcentral.